This 253-nucleotide ribosomal RNA is filed under the name uncultured bacterium. Its description in RNAcentral is "partial 16S ribosomal RNA". It matches the Rfam family "Bacterial small subunit ribosomal RNA", at positions 524 to 776 of the family's 1533-position model. The record is from RNAcentral.
UACGUAGGGUGCAAGCGUUAAUCGGAAUUACUGGGCGUAAAGGGCGCGUAGGCGGCCUUCUAAGUCGAACGUGAAAUCCCCGGGCUCAACCCGGGAACUGCGUCCGAUACUGGAAGGCUUGAAUCCGGGAGAGGGAUGCGGAAUUCCAGGUGUAGCGGUGAAAUGCGUAGAUAUCUGGAGGAACACCGGUGGCGAAGGCAGCUCUCUGGGACGGUACUGACGCUGAGACGCGAAAGCGUGGGGAGCGAACAGG